This 330-nucleotide ribosomal RNA is filed under the name uncultured bacterium. RNAcentral's name for it is "bacterial SSU rRNA". It matches the Rfam family "Bacterial small subunit ribosomal RNA", at positions 568 to 898 of the family's 1533-position model. The record is from RNAcentral.
CGCGUAGGUGGUAGUGUAAGUCUGAGGUGGAAUCCUAUGGCUUAACCAUAGAACUGCCUUGGAUACUGUAUUACUUGAGUCAGUGAGGGGAGGGUAGAAUUCCUGGUGUAGCGGUGAAAUGCGUAGAUAUCAGGAGGAAGGCCUGUGGCGAAGGCGGCCCUCUGGCGCUGGACUGACACUGAGGCGCGAAAGCGUGGGGAGCAAACAGGAUUAGAUACCCUGGUAGUCCACGCCCUAAACGGUGGGCACUAGGUGUAGGGCUCGUAAGGGUUCUGUGCCGAAGGGAAACCAUUAAGUGCCCCGCCUGGGGAGUACGGCCGCAAGGUUGAA